AUAUUCGUAAAAAACCCACUAUUUGUGCUUUGUCAAAUUUUUUCUGAAAAUAGUGUUAGCUCAUCCCGGGAAACGUGUCACACUGAGCUUGUGAUGGAAAAACAAGUUGAAGUUGUGAAAAUGCCUUUUUCAUGUUUUUAUUUGUAUGCUGUCUUUUUAUUUCACUUCACGUUUCGGUUGUCACCUUUACUUGGAUUUCUGUGUUAACGAUUGCCUUCUUAUUCUUAAUCAUUUGGUGUGUUUUUAAUGUAUUUAUUUGUGUGUUUUAAGUAUUGAACUUUGCAUGAAAACUGAACUGGACAGUAAUGAUUCUGGGAGAGACACAUCUCCAGUCAUGCUACUAAUUACAGAAUGAGCGACAGGUGUAGCAGCGCUGCACACAAUUGGUCAGGACGCUUCUUAUACAGAGAAAGCUGAAGAACAAGAUGCAAAUCACAUGAACACUGCCCAGUUUGGGGAAGAGCCCAGAAACAGAGUACGGAGCAGUCUGACAGACCAGCAAGUGACCCAGGAGUUGCCGUGGUACUACAUGCAGAAGCCAGUGUCCCCCAAUGCAGCUUCACUUGGGCCUGGGUCGGCAGUUGAUUAGCUGUUGCCCAAUCCGACGGGGUUGGAGUGGCCUGGCAGCCGGCAUGGAAGGAGCUGGAAACGGAAUCGGAGGAUCAAAGGCAGAAACGUGGACACGGAAGAGUAGUCGCUGGACUGAACAUGUACUUCAUGGACCUUGCUGCUAUGCAGUAUUUUUUAGAUUCAUUUUAUUGCAUGUUUGUGUUUAUUCUUUUUAGUGGUUUACUCGUACUGUUAUUUGUUCACUUAGUGGCCUACUGUUUUUAUCUUGGAAGGUACCAUUCUAUGUAUUAACUUUAGAAUUGAAUUAAAAUCUGAUUCAAAUCAA
Long non-coding RNA from Thunnus maccoyii (southern bluefin tuna), 895 nucleotides. RefSeq lists it as uncharacterized. The record is from RefSeq and is a predicted model, not a curated record. Lineage: Eukaryota; Metazoa; Chordata; Actinopteri; Scombriformes; Scombridae. The transcript is spliced from 2 exons.